Molecule: long non-coding RNA, 421 nt
Organism: Mustela lutreola (European mink)
Lineage: Eukaryota; Metazoa; Chordata; Mammalia; Carnivora; Mustelidae
Exons: 4
Source: RefSeq, a predicted model, not a curated record
GGGAGGCCAGCUGAGUGACGCUAACAUAAUCCAGAUGAGAAGUGAGGAUGCCUGAGGAAUGGUGGUGGAUACUGCAAUGAAAACAUGGAAACAUCAUUGAUUGUGCCUGAAGCUUGCUGAGAGCUGUGCUAGGAGCUCCACAGAAAAGAUGGAAUGAAGAGCCUUCUACUAUGCCUGGGAGGAGCCACAGCUGCAGCCAGGGAUUCCCCAGAUCCUUGGGAUAUAUCUUCUGGUUGAAGUCCCCCCAAGGCAGUGGACAAAGCAAGGACAACAAAAAGAAAAAUAAAUAAAUGGAACUACAUCCAACCAAAGAGCUUUUUGCACAAUGAAGGAAACGAUCAAAAUGAAAAGGUAUUUGCAAGUGAUAUAUCUCAUAAGGGGUUAAUAUGCAAAAUAUAUAAGUAACUGAAUUCAGUAUUUA